Molecule: long non-coding RNA, 321 nt
Filed under: Nicotiana benthamiana
Lineage: Eukaryota; Viridiplantae; Streptophyta; Magnoliopsida; Solanales; Solanaceae
Description: long non-coding RNA (NBEN_LNC031168)
Source: RNAcentral
UAUUAACAAACAAGAUCGGGUAGGCAUAUAAGUUAAUAAAACUUGAAGAAAAUAAAAAGAGAAAAGAAAAGACAAGAGUGAACCUCAAAGGAUCUUUAACAAAACAGAAAUUUGGAUUGAAUCUCGGAUCGCGAUCGAAACAUCCAAAACUUCGAAUACUCACCUCAACUAGUUUUGGCGAAAAACUCGACAAAUCCGAAAACAAAAAAGUUAAAAAUCAGAACAAAUGAGACCCACGAAUCCCUUUCCUCUAAGUUCUCUUACUGUGCGUGCGUGUGUGGGGGGAUCUGCUGAAGCUUUUGGAAUUAGGAUCUGUUUUCG